Molecule: long non-coding RNA, 1041 nt
Organism: Hordeum vulgare subsp. vulgare (domesticated barley)
Lineage: Eukaryota; Viridiplantae; Streptophyta; Magnoliopsida; Poales; Poaceae
Exons: 4
Source: RefSeq, a predicted model, not a curated record
AAAGUCCAUCUCUUCUUCAAUCCAGAUUAACAUCCGCCUUCAUAUUCGGAUCUAUCUAGGUCUCUCCCUCCAACUGGGAUACAAGUCAACCAUCCAAUCUCCUCUAGUUGAGCAGGAUUGCAGGAAGGCUGGAAGGCGGACGGACAACGUCGGGAAGGCGGACGGACAACGUCGGGAAGGCGGCGGCAGACAGGGGUGCGGCGGGAAGGCGGCGACGAACAGGGGAGCGAUGGCUUUGCGGGCAGAGCAGAAGGGAGAAGCAGCAAGCCCGCGCUAGGAAGGCUGCAACUCAUCAGCUAGCGCCCCUGCUCCUCUGGCUGCUCCUCCAGCCGCCCGUGUUCUCCCUCACUGCGUAUGACGGCGAGACUGGCCUCUGAGCAGAUUUGUCACGGACAAGAAUCAGUGUUGUUGAAUCCAAUAAAGAAUAUAUGAUGGAAGAACCAAUCGAACAUCAUAAUUCUGUUGAAAAAGAUGUCGAAUCAUCUGAUGUCCAUGAAAGAACUACUAAUGACAAAUAAAUAUUCACAUAUUGUGUGAUGUUGAUGCGGAUGAAAAUGAAGAUGAAACUGAAGUAUUAUUGAAGAGCCCGAAAAACCAUAAUAUGGCGUAGUUCUUGCUACAAUUAUAUGUUGUGAUCCUAAAUUUUAAACUUGACAGUGCUGGAAUUAGGAAUUACUUUUGGGCCGUGCAUGUCGAUAUGGAGAGAAAACACGGAUUGCAUGGACUUCAACCUUUAUUCAAGAGAUAACUGGAUGAGUAUGCAGGUGUGUGGCAAGUACACUUCAAUGAUGAUGUUGAUGUUCUGGUUCAUGAUGAUGAUGGAUGCUUUCACUUUUAGUUGUAGUGAUGUUGACGUUCAUGUUAGAUGUUGUUCCUCGAUUACUAGUUUUAAUUAAGUUGUAGGAAUGUUGAAGGAUGCUUAGUUUAAGUUUCUUUGUCAAGAAAAUGGGUAGAUUAUGCAUCGCAUCUGGAUGAUGUUUCUCCUGUAAUAUCCACUAUUGUAAUCCAACAUUUUUAUCUAGUAUAUCGUUUUUCCUCUUA